Molecule: RNA transcript, 3313 nt
Organism: Diospyros lotus (date-plum)
Lineage: Eukaryota; Viridiplantae; Streptophyta; Magnoliopsida; Ericales; Ebenaceae
Gene name: uclacyanin-3
Exons: 5
Source: RefSeq, a predicted model, not a curated record
AACAUUCUUUAAUUUUUCGCAUUGUCAAGUAUGAUAAAAGUUUUAGCUUGGUAAUGUUCCAAAAAGCUUUUUAGACUGAGUUCUAUUUUAUUAAAUUCUCGCUUCUUGAUAUUCAUAAAUUAGGAGCAAAGCUUUUUAGAAUCUAUUGCCUCGUGAAAAGCAGGGAGCUAAAUAUAUUAUUAUCAUUGAAGCACUAAAGGAAAUUUUCUUUUUUUUCAGGCCACCAAUUCCAAAAGAAAUGUAAGGGGGCUUGGUUGGGACUCACAAACCCUAAUUCCAAGCCUAGCACAAAGGACAAAAGGAAAACAAAGCAAAUUGGAUUCUGCACAUAACAUUUGAGAGAAAUGAGGGAAAAGAAACCCAAGUGUAAAAUAAAAUAUGCGAUGUCCCAGGUUGAUAAUCACAGAAGUCAUCAUUUUAGAAUAAUAAUCCCCAUCAUCAUCAUCAAUCACCACUCAUCACAGCCACCCAUACAGCAUGCUCUCUCCCUGAUUUCCCUCCCUCUUUUGAUUUACCAUUCUCUUUUCGCAAUAAAAAUGCUAUUACUAUUCUGAAACAAAAUCAUUCCACCUUUUGCGUGAAAACUGCACAAUAAACAUACACAUUAUCCAACAUCAAUGCCCAUUUUCCACUGUCAACAAACAAUUCUACACUCUCCCCAUCAAAAGCCACACAACCCUGACACUCUUUUGAAUCUCUCUCUCUCUCUCUCUCUCUCUCUCUCCCAACUGUCACAUUUCUCAGAGACCCCAUUUUCAUCUUUCAAUUACAGACUGGGGACCGAACAAGCCAUUGAUAAAAAGCCUCCCAAUUCUCUCUCUCUCUCUCUCUCUCUUCCUUCAAAACAUAGCACCGAGCUUCCAUGGAAGCCCCCUCUAUGCUUGUAUUGUUCUUGUUCUCUCUUCUAAGCUUGCCCUUCCAAAUUUCUGACUCUGCAACAGUGCUAGUUGAUGGAGUUUCAGAGUGGGGGAAUCCCAUUGUUCAUAUUGGUGACUCCAUCAUCUUCAAGCACAAGUAUGAUUACAAGCUUUACAUUUUCCAGAACAAGGAAGCCUUCAAUCUCUGCAACUUCACUCAAGCUACUCUUCUCACCAAGCCUAACUCCACCUCCUUCACUUGGCAUCCGUCGAGGCCUGGUUUCUUCUACUUCUCCUUCAACAAUGGCUCUCUCAAAGAGUGCCACGAUGGCCAUAAGCUCGCCAUAGAGGUGACUUCGGCGCCCCCGGAAAGCCCUGCCACCUCGCCGGACCCCGCUCAGGGGCCGAGCUCCGGCGGCGUUGUUUCAUCUUCUCCAGCCUACCCUUGGCCGUUUCAGCCUCACGGUUCGGAGUCGCCUAGCCCGUCGCCCAGCGCCGUCCUGCCAGCGGCCAGCCCCUCGCUGCCGGAUAAAGGUGGCGGCAUACCGUUCAUCAAUAGUAAUCCGGCGGUGCCUCUGCCCACCGGAGAAGUGGACUCUGCUACUAUACGCCCUUUGCCCACCUCCGGCCAUGGACGACAGGUGGUGGGGUUUUCUGCUCUUCAAAUGGCUCUCUUCUUUCCGGUUUUACUUUCACUGAUGAUGCAAUGAAAAGUAGGGGAGAGAGGGAGAGAGAGAGAGAGAGAGAGAGAGAUGAUGUAUAAAAUGUUAGGCCAGAUCGAGAAGAGGUAGGGGCUAUUGGGCUGGAGAUGCUGGGCAACUUGAAUUCUAGGGCACAGCUUUAAGGGGUUCUUCAACAGGCUGUGGAUCCAUAUACCACAAGAAAUCAGCUUCUCUGUAGCCAACCAUGGGUUUCCCCUUGGAUUCUGCAUUGCAAUCAUCAGCAACACCUAAGAGAAAAGGCCACUGCAGUAGAUCGAUUUGAACUAAUUCCUCCUUUUGCUAGGUGGGUUCUUAGUUCUGAUCAAGUGGAUCACAAACACUAUGACAGAAACUAGAAUCGCCGAUCCUGCGACGAUCGGGACACGGAACUUCUUGGAGAUUCUCUCCCGUGGCUGGCUCGCCUGAUCACCAUUUCUCCUCUCUUUCUGAGUUUCAUCUUUCCCCUGAAGCUGUUGCCGUUCUUGCUCAUGCCUUGAAGCAUCAAUUUGAUCAGCAAUAUCGUGAUCUUCAACAACUUGAGCCUUUUCAACUAAUGGUGGAGAGCUUGGCAUUUCCUUCUCUUGACCACAUUCUCUCUCUUCCAGCUCUGCUUCACUUUCUUCCUCUACCUCCUCGUCCUUCGAAUCAUGAACCUUUUCCCCUGCAACUUCUUCCACAUUAUUCUCAGCAGCCUCGUUUUCGAUCACUUCUUCCUCAACCCCCUCACCGCGUAUUCCUUUAACAAGCUUAGGCAUUGAAACUGUCAGUGUCGACUCCUCCUCAUCGAACCUCGCCUUGAUAUCAUCCAAAAUCACCCCAUCAGGGAUCUUGAAACCCUUCUUAAAUCCCCUCAUCUCCAUCUCUUUCUUGUACAUCAUCCAGCCCACCAUCACCAUCUCCUGCACCGGCUUUUCGCCGCUUAUUACAAUCCUACUCCCAUCCUCAUUUAUCUCAAUCUUUAUCCAUUCUCUUCUGUAGCCUGCAUUCGUUCAAACUUGAAACAGUUACUGCCAAGAACAAAAAAAAAAAAAAACAGAACAAAAAAGACCCACAUUCAAACACAAGAACAGAAGAGGAUUCAAAUGGUAAACUUGUUUUAGACCUUUGAGAUAGGCAGUGAGGAUGAACAUGGCAUCGGAUUCUCGGGAAACAAACAGAGGGCCGGACCGGUCUUUGGCGAUCCGCAGGUCGGCUGAGGAGAAAUCAUCGCUGGUUCUGAUGAUCUUGAGCCCCAAUUCAAGUUCCAUCUAUCUUUUUUCUUCUUGAUUUUUCCCGGAAUUUGGUUUGAAUGAUUUGAAGAAUGUGGGGAUAAUUGGAGUUUGGAGCUUCAAGGAAGGAAGAUUUUAGUUAUUUAUCUUUGUGUGAGAGCAAAGCAUAUGUUCUUUGCUUCCUCCCAUGAUGUUUUUGGCGGGAAGCUACGGCCUUCUUAACAAUUCUUAUUAUAGAAAAUAUAAAAUGAAUAUGGCAUUUAUAUUUUCUUAGCAUAAAAUUGUUUUCAUAAAUAAUAUUAGAAAUAAUCACAAAAACAUGCCCGAAGUUUGCUAUAAUAUGUAUUUUUCAUUAACUUUACAAUUUCAUACUUAAAUUAUUUUUAACCUCAUUAAAACAUACUUAAGGUCUAAAUUUUCAUAACAAAAAAAUUUAAAGAAAAUAGUUAAUACAUUUUCAAAGACAGAUAAAAGUGCUUAUAAAACUACAAGUCAAAAAAAAAAAAAAAAAAAAGAGUUUCAUUCGAGUGGUUUUAAGUAUAUAAAA